Molecule: ribosomal RNA, 434 nt
Filed under: uncultured bacterium
Lineage: Bacteria
Description: partial 16S ribosomal RNA
Rfam family: Bacterial small subunit ribosomal RNA
Source: RNAcentral
AGCGAACGCUGGCGGCAGGCCUAACACAUGCAAGUCGAACGAACCUUUCGGGGUUAGUGGCGGACGGGUGAGUAACACGUGGGAACGUGCCUUUAGGUUCGGAAUAACUCAGGGAAACUUGUGCUAAUACCGAAUGUGCCCUUCGGGGGAAAGAUCUAUCGCCUUUAGAGCGGCCCGCGUCUGAUUAGCUAGUUGGUUGAGGUAAUGGCUCACCAAGGCGACGAUCAGUAGCUGGUCUGAGAGGAUGAUCAGCCACAUUGGGACUGAGACACGGCCCAAACUCCUACGGGAGGCAGCAGUGGGGAAUCUUGCGCAAUAGGCGAAAGCCUGACGCAGCCAUGCCGCGUGAAUGAUGAAGGUCUUAGGAUUGUAAAAUUCUUUCACCGGGGACGAUAAUGACGGUACCCGGAGAAGAAGCCCCGGCUAACUUCGUG